RNAcentral lists this ribosomal RNA (437 nucleotides) under uncultured bacterium. RNAcentral's name for it is "partial 16S ribosomal RNA". It matches the Rfam family "Bacterial small subunit ribosomal RNA", at positions 29 to 507 of the family's 1533-position model. The record is from RNAcentral.
AGCGAACGCUGGCGGCAGGCUUAACACAUGCAAAUCGAGCGGGCAUCCUUGUGGUGUCAGCGGCAGACGGGUGAGUAACGCGUGGGAACGUGCCCUUCGGUUCGGAAUAACUCAGGGAAACUUGAGCUAAUACCGGAUACGUGCGAGAGCAGAAAGGUUUAUCUGCCGAAGGAUCGGCCCGCGUCUGAUUAGCUAGUUGGUGAGGUUACGGCUCACCAAGGCGACGAUCAGUAGCUGGUCUGAGAGGCUGAUCAGCCACACUGGGACUGAGACACGGCCCAGACUCCUACGGGAGGCAGCAGUGGGGAAUAUUGGACAAUGGGGGCAACCCUGAUCCAGCCAUGCCGCGUGAGUGAUGACGGCCUUAGGGUUGUAAAGCUCUUUUCUCCGGGACGAUAAUGACGGUACCGGAGGAAUAAGCCCCGGCUAACUUCGUG